AACAUCGCGCACCUGCGGGAACCUGCGGAGGGAUCAUUACCGAGUGUGAACCCCCCCGUAAAAAAGAGGGGUUACCUCCCGUCCUUUGCUGGGAACCCCUUUCCAACUUGGAAGGAGGUUGUUUUCAGACCCUUCUGCUUCGGUGGGGUAACCCACCGGAACAACCUCAAAAAUAUUCUCAAUUCAAAACCGUUCAGUCCGAGAACUUUUUUGAAAAGCGAAGAAACUUUUAACAAUGGA
This 240-nucleotide unclassified non-coding RNA is filed under the name soil metagenome. Its description in RNAcentral is "partial contains 5.8S ribosomal RNA, internal transcribed spacer 2, and large subunit ribosomal RNA". The record is from RNAcentral.